UACAGAGGUCUCGAGCGUUGUUCGGAUUCAUUGGGCGUAAAGGGUGCGUAGGUGGCGUCGUAAGUCAGGUGUGAAAUCUCGGGGCUUAACUCCGAAACUGCAUUUGAUACUGCGGUGCUUGAGGACUGGAGAGGAGACUGGAAUUUACGGUGUAGCAGUGAAAUGCGUAGAGAUCGUAAGGAAGACCAGUGGCGAAGGCGGGUCUCUGGACAGUUCCUGACACUGAGGCACGAAGGCCAGGGGAGCAAACGGG
This 253-nucleotide ribosomal RNA is filed under the name uncultured bacterium. Its description in RNAcentral is "partial 16S ribosomal RNA". It matches the Rfam family "Bacterial small subunit ribosomal RNA", at positions 524 to 776 of the family's 1533-position model. The record is from RNAcentral.